GGAGUAUCGACCCUCUCUGUGCCGAAGCUAACGCUUUAAGUAGUCCGCCUGGGGAGUACGGUCGCAAGACUAAAACUCAAAGGAAUUGACGGGGGCCCGCACAAGCAGCGGAGCGUGUGGUUUAAUUCGAUGCUACACGAAGAACCUCACCAGGGCUUGACAUGUUAGAAGUAGUGAACCGAAAGGGGAACG
This 192-nucleotide ribosomal RNA is filed under the name uncultured bacterium. RNAcentral describes it as "partial 16S rRNA". It matches the Rfam family "Bacterial small subunit ribosomal RNA", at positions 826 to 1014 of the family's 1533-position model. The record is from RNAcentral.